Molecule: ribosomal RNA, 460 nt
Filed under: uncultured bacterium
Lineage: Bacteria
Description: partial 16S ribosomal RNA
Rfam family: Bacterial small subunit ribosomal RNA
Source: RNAcentral
CCUACGGGUGACAGCAGUGAGGAAUAUUGGUCAAUGGGCGCGAGCCUGAACCAGCCAAGCCGCGUGAGGGAUGAAGGUUCUAUGGAUCGUAAACCUCUUUUAUAAGGGGAUAAAGUGUGGGACGUGUCCUAUUUUGUAUGUACCUUAUGAAUAAGGAUCGGCUAACUCCGUGCCAGCAGCCGCGGUAAUACGGAGGAUCCGAGCGUUAUUCGGAUUUAUUGGGUUUAAAGGGUGCGUAGGCGGCCUUUUAAGUCAGCGGUGAAAGUCUGUGGCUCAACCAUAGAAUUGCCGUUGAAACUGGGGGGCUUGAGUGUGUUUGAGGCAGGCGGAAUGCGUGGUGUAGCGGUGAAAUGCUUAGAGAUCACGCAGAACCCCGAUUGCGAAGGCAGCCUACCAAGCCAUGACUGACGCUGAUGCACGAAAGCGUGGGGAUCAAACAGGAUUAGAUACCCCAGUAGUC